This 260-nucleotide ribosomal RNA is filed under the name uncultured bacterium. Its description in RNAcentral is "partial 16S ribosomal RNA". It matches the Rfam family "Bacterial small subunit ribosomal RNA", at positions 524 to 782 of the family's 1533-position model. The record is from RNAcentral.
UACGUAGGGUGCAAGCGUUAAUCGGAAUUACUGGGCGUAAAGCGUGCGCAGGCGGUUAUGUAAGACAGGUGUGAAAUCCCAGGGCUUAACCUUGGAACUGCAUUUGUGACUGCAUAGCUAGAGUACGGUAGAGGGGGAUGGAAUUCCGCGUGUAGCAGUGAAAUGCGUAGAUAUGCGGAGGAACACCGAUGGCGAAGGCAAUCCCCUGGACCUGUACUGACGCUCAUGCACGAAAGCGUGGGGAGCAAACGAGGAUUAGA